Canariomyces notabilis is the source of this 90-nucleotide non-coding RNA. NCBI's taxonomy places the organism in Eukaryota, Fungi, Ascomycota, Sordariomycetes, Sordariales, Chaetomiaceae. The record is from the annotation of a RefSeq genome assembly.
GCCCGGCUAGCUCAAUCGGUAGAGCGUGAGACUCUUAAGCUAGGGUUCUCCGGCAUCUCAAGGUUGUGGGUUCGACCCCCACGUCGGGCU